AGCGUACACGGUGGAUGCCCUGGCAGUCAGAGGCGAUGAAGGACGUGCUAAUCUGCGAUAAGCGUCGGUAAGGUGAUAUGAACCGUUAUAACCGGCGAUUUCCGAAUGGGGAAACCCAGUGUGAUUCGUCACACUAUCAUUAACUGAAUCCAUAGGUUAAUGAGGCGAACCGGGGGAACUGAAACAUCUAAGUACCCCGAGGAAAAGAAAUCAACCGAGAUUCCCCCAGUAGCGGCGAGCGAACGGGGAGCAGCCCAGAGCCUGAAUCAGUGUGUGUGUUAGUGGAAGCGUCUGGAAAGGCGCGCGAUACAGGGUGACAGCCCCGUACACAAAAAUGCACAUGCUGUGAGCUCGAUGAGUAGGGCGGGACACGUGGUAUCCUGUCUGAAUAUGGGGGGACCAUCCUCCAAGGCUAAAUACUCCUGACUGACCGAUAGUGAACCAGUACCGUGAGGGAAAGGCGAAAAGAACCCCGGCGAGGGGAGUGAAAAAGAACCUGAAACCGUGUACGUACAAGCAGUGGGAGCACGCUUAGGCGUGUGACUGCGUACCUUUUGUAUAAUGGGUCAGCGACUUAUAUUCUGUAGCAAGGUUAACCGAAUAGGGGAGCCGAAGGGAAACCGAGUCUUAACUGGGCGUUAAGUUGCAGGGUAUAGACCCGAAACCCGGUGAUCUAGCCAUGGGCAGGUUGAAGGUUGGGUAACACUAACUGGAGGACCGAACCGACUAAUGUUGAAAAAUUAGCGGAUGACUUGUGGCUGGGGGUGAAAGGCCAAUCAAACCGGGAGAUAGCUGGUUCUCCCCGAAAGCUAUUUAGGUAGCGCCUCGUGAAUUCAUCUCCGGGGGUAGAGCACUGUUUCGGCAAGGGGGUCAUCCCGACUUACCAACCCGAUGCAAACUGCGAAUACCGGAGAAUGUUAUCACGGGAGACACACGGCGGGUGCUAACGUCCGUCGUGAAGAGGGAAACAACCCAGACCGCCAGCUAAGGUCCCAAAGUCAUGGUUAAGUGGGAAACGAUGUGGGAAGGCCCAGACAGCCAGGAUGUUGGCUUAGAAGCAGCCAUCAUUUAAAGAAAGCGUAAUAGCUCACUGGUCGAGUCGGCCUGCGCGGAAGAUGUAACGGGGCUAAACCAUGCACCGAAGCUGCGGCAGCGACGCUUAUGCGUUGUUGGGUAGGGGAGCGUUCUGUAAGCCUGCGAAGGUGUGCUGUGAGGCAUGCUGGAGGUAUCAGAAGUGCGAAUGCUGACAUAAGUAACGAUAAAGCGGGUGAAAAGCCCGCUCGCCGGAAGACCAAGGGUUCCUGUCCAACGUUAAUCGGGGCAGGGUGAGUCGACCCCUAAGGCGAGGCCGAAAGGCGUAGUCGAUGGGAAACAGGUUAAUAUUCCUGUACUUGGUGUUACUGCGAAGGGGGGACGGAGAAGGCUAUGUUGGCCGGGCGACGGUUGUCCCGGUUUAAGCGUGUAGGCUGGUUUUCCAGGCAAAUCCGGAAAAUCAAGGCUGAGGCGUGAUGACGAGGCACUACGGUGCUGAAGCAACAAAUGCCCUGCUUCCAGGAAAAGCCUCUAAGCAUCAGGUAACAUCAAAUCGUACCCCAAACCGACACAGGUGGUCAGGUAGAGAAUACCAAGGCGCUUGAGAGAACUCGGGUGAAGGAACUAGGCAAAAUGGUGCCGUAACUUCGGGAGAAGGCACGCUGAUAUGUAGGUGAAGUCCCUCGCGGAUGGAGCUGAAAUCAGUCGAAGAUACCAGCUGGCUGCAACUGUUUAUUAAAAACACAGCACUGUGCAAACACGAAAGUGGACGUAUACGGUGUGACGCCUGCCCGGUGCCGGAAGGUUAAUUGAUGGGGUUAGCGCAAGCGAAGCUCUUGAUCGAAGCCCCGGUAAACGGCGGCCGUAACUAUAACGGUCCUAAGGUAGCGAAAUUCCUUGUCGGGUAAGUUCCGACCUGCACGAAUGGCGUAAUGAUGGCCAGGCUGUCUCCACCCGAGACUCAGUGAAAUUGAACUCGCUGUGAAGAUGCAGUGUACCCGCGGCAAGACGGAAAGACCCCGUGAACCUUUACUAUAGCUUGACACUGAACAUUGAGCCUUGAUGUGUAGGAUAGGUGGGAGGCUUUGAAGUGUGGACGCCAGUCUGCAUGGAGCCGACCUUGAAAUACCACCCUUUAAUGUUUGAUGUUCUAACGUUGACCCGUAAUCCGGGUUGCGGACAGUGUCUGGUGGGUAGUUUGACUGGGGCGGUCUCCUCCUAAAGAGUAACGGAGGAGCACGAAGGUUGGCUAAUCCUGGUCGGACAUCAGGAGGUUAGUGCAAUGGCAUAAGCCAGCUUGACUGCGAGCGUGACGGCGCGAGCAGGUGCGAAAGCAGGUCAUAGUGAUCCGGUGGUUCUGAAUGGAAGGGCCAUCGCUCAACGGAUAAAAGGUACUCCGGGGAUAACAGGCUGAUACCGCCCAAGAGUUCAUAUCGACGGCGGUGUUUGGCACCUCGAUGUCGGCUCAUC
Molecule: ribosomal RNA, 2502 nt
Filed under: Escherichia coli
Lineage: Bacteria; Pseudomonadati; Pseudomonadota; Gammaproteobacteria; Enterobacterales; Enterobacteriaceae
Description: bacterial LSU rRNA
Rfam family: Bacterial large subunit ribosomal RNA
Source: RNAcentral